RNAcentral lists this ribosomal RNA (429 nucleotides) under Chloroflexota bacterium. RNAcentral describes it as "Chloroflexi bacterium partial 16S ribosomal RNA". It matches the Rfam family "Bacterial small subunit ribosomal RNA", at positions 355 to 776 of the family's 1533-position model. The record is from RNAcentral. Lineage: Bacteria; Bacillati; Chloroflexota.
UGGGGAAUAUUGCACAAUGGGCGCAAGCCUGAUGCAGCCAUGCCGCGUGUAUGAAGAAGGACUUCGGGUUGUAAAGUACUUUCAGCGGGGAGGAAGGGAGUAAAGUUAAUACCUUUACUCAAUGACGUUACCCGCAGAAGAAGCACCGGCUAACUCCGUGCCAGCAGCCGCGGUAAUACGGAGGGUGCAAGCAUUAAUCGGAAUUACUGGGCGUAAAGCGCACGCAGGCGGUUGAUUGAGUCAGAUGUGAAAUCCCCGGGCUUAACCCGGGAAUUGCAUCUGAUACUGGUCAGCUAGAGUCUUGUAGAGGGGGGUAGAAUUCCAUGUGUAGCGGUGAAAUGCGUAGCGAUGUGGAGGAAUACCGGUGGCGAAGGCGGCCCCCUGGACAAAGACUGACGCUCAGGUGCGAAAGCGUGGGGAGCAAACAGG